AUCAAGGUUUAUAGAUAUUUUCUAUUCACACUGUUUUUGUAUUUAAGGGGUUGGGAGUGACCCUAGGACAGCGGCUAGUUUGCACUUAUUGACACCGUGUGCUCCACUCAUUCAUUUAUAAUUGUUUUUUGCACCAGGUGCAAAUCAAUAUCAGUGCAGGUUAGUGACACUCAAGCUCUAUUUAAAUUUAUUUGUGUAGCUUUAUGAAAACUGGAGUUGGGGGCUUAGAGUAUGUAUUCAUAGAAAGUCUAGUUUCCUGUCCAUUCUUAGCCUUCCUUCUUAUCUCAUGUCAGAACUUACAUUUUGUCUUCCAUGCAAGUAUUCUGUUUGAAGUGGUUCUCCACGAAAGGGACAAAAAAAAACACACUUUAAAAAGGACAAAAUACAUAAAAAUUAUAUUGAGUGUCCAGGAGACCCCACCCGCCC
Molecule: non-coding RNA, 426 nt
Organism: Pelobates cultripes (western spadefoot toad)
Lineage: Eukaryota; Metazoa; Chordata; Amphibia; Anura; Pelobatidae
Source: the annotation of a GenBank genome assembly